CACGGACGCUUCUGUGUAUGCGCACAAGCGCUGCGCACAAGCGAAGUGAGCACGCGCACAUCUGCGCUCAGAGUUCCAAACCAGUAGCAAAGUGAAAGCUUAUACAUCUUAGCAAUAACAUGCUUAUUAUUGGUAUACAGAAUCAAUUCAAAGACAGUACAUGUAAAUCUCAGUGUCAACCACAAGCAGAAUGCUCCAAAUGUCUUCUUCUGGACACCAUCAUUUAAGGAGGAUGAAGAUUUAUCCAUGGUUGGCCUAUCCGGGGUUGAAAAGCUCAAUAAAUCUCAUGCCGGUGGGUGUCACACAUUGGUGGUUGUGACGCAUAUUUUGAGUGACAGGAAGCUGCAGCAGAAGGGUGAAAGAGCCACAUGCGGCUACAGAGCCGCAGGUUGCUGAUCCCUGGACUAAGCCUAAAAUGGAAUCCCUCAACUCCCAGCUGCUCAUCACAAAAACAUUGGUUCCUGCUGUCUGUUCACAAAAUGCCACUGUCCAGAAUAUGUUUGAGUGAGCUCAUGGUUUCUCAUUUUGUUGACUCAGAUCUUGCAUCCAGCCACAAUUUCACCCAUAAUAUCUCGGCUUCUCUGUAGAUGUCUUCAGUUCGCCAUGUCCUCAUUGGAAGUCCUAAACCUAGAAGAAGACUUUUAGACAAGUUCAUACAUCUAAAUAUAAAAUAUCAGGGCUGGAGACAAGAAUGGGAUGGUGAAAAACAAUCUCCAAAGAAGACAGUGGCCACUGCUUUAAAAUCAACUUUUAGUAUUUCUAACGAGGAAACAUCAUGUAAAUGAGGUCAACAAAAGCUUAACUUGAUUUGAAAGAAACUUCAUCAGACUAAGCUAUAAUGUGCGGUAUUAGUUUGGUUAUUGUUUAAAAUCAAUCAUUAAGUUUUAUAAUAUUUUGCAACAUAUUAUGUAAACCUAGUCAAGUAUAAUAUGUAUGAUAUGGUCUUCCUACCAUUUCCUCUAUUUUUUUUCUUUUUUCAGAAAAUUUGCUAAGGAAAAAAUGCUUUAAAAAAGUAGUUGCCAAUGUCUUUUUAUUAGCAGGACAUGACUCAUUUGUCUGAAAUUAGCCUUAGAAGGCGGGAACUUUCCAGAGAGAACAAUUUCAAACAAAGGUUUUCCACUUAUAGCCUUUCAAAAUACAAAUUGCAGACACAAAGGUUGAACCUUAGUUGAAGAUAAUAUAAGCAAACCCAUAUUUCAUCAGUAUAUCAAACUAUUGAUCUUGGAAAGAACAUUAGAUGGAAUAAGUGCUUCUAGUCCCUUCACCUGACAAAUGGAAUUAAUUUAUAUCAGUUUAAAAUCAGAUGCAUGCUUAGGCAUGAAAGCAGAAUGUACCACAUUUGGAAUAUGUGGUGAUGAUGAAUGUAUUUACUAUGUAGGGUGCUUUAGGGUAGUCAUAUCUUUCUACAGAUCAAGAAUAUAGAACAGAAGGUGGGGUAAUAUAAUCCAUAAAAUGCACUUAAUCAAUUCUGCAUUUUUUUUAAGUGUGAGAAGCAUAACAUCCCUGGGUCCUGAAUUUCGGUUAACUUAUCUUCCUAUGUAUUACUGCAGAUGAUAAUAAAAAUUAAAACUCUAAACAAAGUGUUUGGUUAUUUUCUUCAGACAACUAUUUUUGCUUGCCAUGCAACAAAUAAUUCUUAUUUGUAUUCAAUUUACUAAUCCUCAUUAGAGCUCCCACAUCUGGGUUGCAAAAGUCCAGACUACUGAUUUUCUGUAUCUGUUUGCCUCCAUCUAA
Long non-coding RNA from Pantherophis guttatus, 1734 nucleotides. RefSeq lists it as uncharacterized. The record is from RefSeq and is a predicted model, not a curated record. NCBI's taxonomy places the organism in Eukaryota, Metazoa, Chordata, Lepidosauria, Squamata, Colubridae.